This 442-nucleotide ribosomal RNA is filed under the name uncultured bacterium. Its description in RNAcentral is "partial 16S ribosomal RNA". It matches the Rfam family "Bacterial small subunit ribosomal RNA", at positions 338 to 795 of the family's 1533-position model. The record is from RNAcentral.
CCUACGGGGGGCUGCAGUAGGGAAUCUUUCACAAUGGGCGAAAGCCUGAUGGAGCAACGCCGCGUGCAGGAUGAAGGCCUUCGGGUUGUACACUGCUUUUAUAAGCGAGAAAUAUGAUGGUAACUUAUGAAUAAGGAUCGGCUAACUACGUGCCAGCAGCCGCGGUCAUACGUAGGAUCCGUGCAUUAUCCGGAGUGACUGGGUGUAAAGAGUUGCGUAGGUGGCAUAAUAAGUAGCUAGUGAAAUCUGGUGGCUCAACCAUUCAGACUAUUAGCUAAACUGUUAAGCUCGAGACCGUUAGGGGUAACUGGAAUUUCUAGUGUAGGAGUGAAAUCCGUAGAUAUUAGAAGGAACACCAAUAGCGUAGGCAGGUUGCUGGGACGGUUCUGACACUAAGGCACGAAAGCGUAGGGAGCAAACGGGAUUAGAUACCCCAGUAGUC